GGAAAACAAGCCUUGGAGAGGAAGAGCAGUUGGGCAGGUGGCCUUAGAAGCAGAGACAGACGUCCCUGUUGAUACCACUGUUGAUGGAGAAGCACUCGGCUCUCCUCCAUCAGGGGAAACCAAACCUGCCACCCCACCUGGGAUGUGGCCUCCCCAGGGAAAGAGUAGAGAGGCUGGAGCUCUGGCAGAACAGGCCUGGCAAGGGGGCUGGAGGCCAAGGCUGGUGUUGGGGCUCAGAUCAAAGCCAUCAUGCUGCAUGGAGCCCAAUCAGCUGCCAACACUCUUGGUGACACAGAGCCCUCACGCCUCUGGUGGAAGAAGCCAGGGCUGGAUGAAGCUGUGGCGUGCAGCUUCUGCACAGUCUCCGUGGAAUCUCUCCUACUCUCCCGUGAGCCUUUGGAGGCCUUGCAGGAGCUCAGCCUUUCAGCAGAAGGACUGGGUUCAACCGCCCCUGCAGGAGCAGCUCCUUGGCCUCCCAGGCACCAGUGGUUGGGGGCUGCAUCCUCUGUGAGCCUCAGGUCAAGCCCAUACAGUGCCCUAGACUCCUCCCUGCUCUGACCCUGGGCCCAGGAGAAAGGCCGAGCACCUGGCCCUCUGGAGACAAGGACAUGGCCAUUCCUCAGAGGUCCUUCCCCUGACAAGCUGGGCCCCCUGUUGUGGGGCGCACCACUGGACAUGGUAGGGGAGUGGUGGCGGCCUUGCCCGAAGGCAGGCUGCGGGAGGGGCGGGGCUGGCUCACCACAGUUGGUUGAUUCAAGUGAGGCCUGGGGUCCUGCUCUCCUUCCAGCUUCCAUCUCAGGAUGGCUCUCAGCCCCCCACAUUGAAGACCAAGAAGGUGAGGGGCAAACCAAGGGCCCUGCCUAUGGAAGCUUCCUGUGAUGGGCUGCAGGUAGCAGGGGCUGGAGAGGGCUGUGGUUGGGGCCACACCAGGCUCCCCCAACCUGAGCAUCCUGGAAGGUGACAGCUCACCCUUGGCAGUGGCAACCCCCAGGCCAGCAGCCCCAUCUGAGGACAGUUGUCUUCAGUGCCAUUGGCUGUGGCAGCACAGAUGGGGGGUGUGAAGACCUGAGGCCCUGCGACUGUAGCACCUACAGCCACUGGAGCCAGCUCUGCACAACUCAGACCUGGGUGGCGAGGACAUAGCUUUGCAGGUGGGCAGCCACAUCCCAGGGGGAGCCUGCAGGCCAGUGGCAGGGUGGGGGCAGGCAGAGCAGGGUCUCCCCACUGUUGCCGCUGGGCUCCUGCGGCUUGUGGAGAAAGAUGGGUGGGCCCACACAUAUUGCUGCUCCCUGGAUCUGAGCCUCGGUUUCCCUACCUGUGAAACGGGUACCCAUGGCAGCUCAGAAGUGUCUGGCAGUGGGGCUGCUGGGGCACAGUCAUGGGGGACCCGAGUCCUGCUCUCCAUGUGCUCGCUUCCCUCAGUGGUCCCUGAUGCCAGCAGAACUUUCUCCCAAAAAGAGAAGGGCGUUCCUGUGAGUUCUUGUGUGGGGGGUGGGUCACAGAGCCUCUCCAAGUGCAGGGCAGGGUGAAGGGAGGCUGAGGGGUGGUUGAAUGGCCCUGGGAAGAGCUCUCUUGGGCUCCUCGUGUCUGGGUGGCCUGGGGAGCAUGCUUUUGGGCAGGCGGCUGGCAGGGCUGGUGGCUGAGCCACUGUGGCUCAGGAUCCCCAGCCCAGGCCUGAAUAGGGUAGGCAGGGAGAGGGGAGGGUGAGUGCAUGGUGCAGGACAGUGUGUCUCCUGGACAGAAACAGCCCUGGUCACUCACGGCCAUGGCAUAGCCAUGGCUACAGGAAAGUGCUGCUGUGUGUUGCAGCCCCUGGGGCCGGCUCCCAAUGGACACCCAGCAGCAUCUCCCCCACUGUGCUGAGGGGAGUUGUGCCAGUGGGGUGCUGGCAGCAGUCCUGGGAACUGGGGGAAGAGCCUUGGCAAGCCCAUCCCUCCUCGGGCAUCAGGGAUGGGCUCACGUGACCAAUUUCUCCCAUGGAAGAUGUUUGGGGUGUGCCCAGAAAAUGGGGAGGGCCCUGUGGGGCAGGAUUGUAUUAUUAAAUCCAGAAAGUCUGGGGUUCCAUUUUUAGCACAAGGCAGGCAGCCCACGUGCCCCAGCCCAGUGGCCAGCCUGUGUGGGAGAGGGGAGUGGGGGCCAGAGGGAGUGAGGCUUCUGUUACUGCAGCCAGCCAGGGUGGCCAGUGUGGACUGGACAGCGGGCACUGCACCAGGGGCACUGGUACUGACCUUGGGCCAUGCACCUGAUGCCUGUGAGAGUGAUCUCUAGGAACCACUGCACAAGGGGGCAGAUGAGGGAACCCUGACAUGGGACAGCUGAGGGUUACGCCAACACGGGGGGGAAAGCUGUGUCCAGGCUCCACCGGACUCCGCCGAGGACAGAGCACUGCCCUGACUCUAGGGUGCGGGGUCACUGAGGGUUAGGACAGUCUGGAGUUGGGAGAGGGCCAUGCUGCAGCUGGGGCACAUCCCACCUGCACCUCUCUAGAUCUUGGAGAUGGGACCCCCACCCACAUGCUCCCCAGGUGGGUCCCAUCCUGGGGGGUGCAGGAGGGAGCUCCAUGUGCCCCUGCUGAUCUGCCCAUCUGAGCCUCAGGGGUCCUGGGCACUGAGAGCUGGGCUGGGCUCAGCGGGGGUAUGCAUUGACAUUGGGGACAGAGAGGGGAUGCUGAAGCGGGUGCUGUCUGGGUGGGGCCUGCCUGAUCGACCCAGCAGGUGCACCCAGCAGCCGGAGGUGCUUCUAGCAGAGUGAACGCCCUGUCCUUAGGGGCAUGUGAGCUGAGGCUGGGGGCCUGGAGCUGCAGGGGGAGGAAUUGGGGAGAGCAGAGGUCCCAAAGAUGUCCCAAGGCCCCAAGACCCUGGUGAAGGAAUGGAGGAGCCAGCAUUGGUCGGCGAGAGGGGAGUGGGAGUUGGAUGGCCUGGCUCUGGGCUGGACACACGGUUUGCAGCCACAGCUGAGCUGUGCUGUGGAGCCCAGUUCCCACCUGGGCAUGUCCUGUCCUCUGAGGCUUCCGGGAGCCGGACGGCCACCGCGGUGCAGGCGCGCACUCAAGGGCUUUCGAGGCUCACUCUGUCGGAGAGGUCAGAGACUGAGUGUCGCUGCUGAAGGCUGUGGUGGACCGGGCUGGAUCGCGGAUUCUAGGUUAGAUCGCAGAUUUGGGAUCGCGGAUUGGGGAUUGGAUUGGGGAUUUGGGGUUGGAUCAGGGAUGUGGGGGCUGGAUAGGGGAUUUGAGGAUUGGAUCGGGGAUUUGGGGUUGGAUCCUGGAUUUGGGGCCGGGUCGGCGGUGGGGGGCAGUGAAAAGGUGACAGAGAGCAGCCCCUGCUCAGGAGCCGGUGGUUGGGGGUCUGAGAAGUCACCACCACCAAGAAGUUCUUCGGCUUCGGGAGCCGCGGGGGCGAGAUGGCCCGGGCUCCAUAGACCACGUCUGCACGGUUCCGGGUACCGAAUCCGGGACGCGGAACAGCGGAAAAUCCAAGGGCGGCUGUCAAGGACCGGAGGUGGAGCGCGGCCUGGAGCGCAGGAGCCGGAGACCUGGAGGCCCGGGACAAGCAGCACAGAACUGCUCUACAUUUGGCCUGUGCCAGCGGCCAUGUGGAAGUGGUCACUCUCCUGGUGAACAGACAAUGCCAAAUUGACAUCUGUGACAAAGAAAAGAGUGUGCCUUUGAUACAGGCACAGGCUGUGCAUUGCCAAGAAGAGGCUUGUGCCAUUAUUCUGCUGGAACGUGGCGCCAAUCCAAACCUUAAGGAUGUCUACAGCAACACUGCUCUCCAGUAUGCUGUGUAUAGUGAGAGCACAUCACUGGCAAAAAAACUGCUUUCCCAUGAUGCAAAUACUGAAGCACUGGACAAGGAGGACUCUGAGGAAACCAGAUUGGCAGUGAAUAUGUGGUGACAAAGUGAGAAACACUUUAGCAGAAGGCGGAACAAAUUAACUUGUGGGAAGUCGGGGUCCCCAAACGGAGGGACCGGCUGAAGCUGUGGCAGAAGAAUAUAAAUUGUGAAGAUUUCAUGGACAUUUAUUAGUUCCCAAAAUUAACACUUUUAUAAUUUAAUACGCCUGUCUUUACUGCAGUCUCUGAACAUAAAUUGUGAGGAUUUCAUGGCCAUUUAUCACUUCCCCAAUCAAUACUCUUAUAAUUUCCUAUGCCUAUCUUUAAUCUCUUAAUCCCAUCAUCUUCGUCAGCUGAGGAUAUAUGUCACCUCAGGACCCUGUGAUGAUUGUGUUAACUGUACAAAUUGUAAAACAUGCGUGUUUGAACAAUAUGAAAUCAGGACACCCUGAAAAAGAACAGAGUAACAGUGAUUUUCAGGGAACAAGGAAAGAUAACCAUAAGGUCUGACUGCCUGUGGGGAUGGGCAAAAUAGAGUCAUAUUUUUCUUCUCACAGAGAGCUUAUAGAUGGACGUGUGAGUAGGAGAAAUAUUGCUGAAUUCUUUUCCCAGCAAGGAAUAUUAAUAAUUGAUAAUCCUGGGGAAGGAAUGCAUUCCCAGGGGUAGGCCUGUAGACGACCACUCUGGGAUUGUCUGUCUUAUGCAGUUGAGAUAAGGGAUGAAAUACACCCUGUUCUCCUGCAGUGUCCUCAGGCUUACUAGGAUUGGGAAAUUCCAGCCUGGUGAACUCUAGUCAGACCGGUUGUCUGCUCUCCAACCCAGUUUCCUUUUAAGAUGUUUAUCAAGACAAUACAUGCCCAGAGGGACAUGGACCCUCAUCAGUAAUUCUAAUUUCACCCUUGCCUUGUGAUCCUGCUCUGCCCUUUUGCCUUGUGAUCUUUUAUUGCCCUUUGAAGCAUGUGAUCUCUGUGACCCACUCCCUAUUCGUACACCCCUCCGCUUUUGAAAUCCCUAAUAAAAACUUGCUGGUUUUGCAGCUCG
Molecule: long non-coding RNA, 4873 nt
Filed under: Homo sapiens (human)
Lineage: Eukaryota; Metazoa; Chordata; Mammalia; Primates; Hominidae
Description: non-protein coding lnc-C1QTNF9B-1:5
Source: RNAcentral